AUUGAACGCUGGCGGCAGGCCUAACACAUGCAAGUCGAGCGGUAGCACAGAGAGCUUGCUCUCGGGUGACGAGCGGCGGACGGGUGAGUAAUGUCUGGGAAACUGCCUGAUGGAGGGGGAUAACUACUGGAAACGGUAGCUAAUACCGCAUAACGUCGCAAGACCAAAGUGGGGGACCUUCGGGCCUCAUGCCAUCAGAUGUGCCCAGAUGGGAUUAGCUAGUAGGUGGGGUAACGGCUCACCUAGGCGACGAUCCCUAGCUGGUCUGAGAGGAUGACCAGCCACACUGGAACUGAGACACGGUCCAGACUCCUACGGGAGGCAGCAGUGGGGAAUAUUGCACAAUGGGCGCAAGCCUGAUGCAGCCAUGCCGCGUGUGUGAAGAACGCCUUCGGGUUGUAAAGCACUUUCAGCGGGGAGGAAGGCGGUGAGGUUAAUAACCUCAUCGAUUGACGUUACCCGCAGAAGAAGCACCGGCUAACUCCGUGCCAGCAGCCGCGGUAAUACGGAGGGUGCAAGCGUUAAUCGGAAUUACUGGGCGUAAGCGCACGCAGGCGGUCUGUCAAGUCGGAUGUGAAAUCCCCGGGCUCAACCUGGGAACUGCAUUCGAAACUGGCAGGCUAGAGUCUUGUAGAGGGGGGUAGAAUUCCAGGUGUAGCGGUGAAAUGCGUAGAGAUCUGGAGGAAUACCGGUGGCGAAGGCGGCCCCCUGGACAAAGACUGACGCUCAGGUGCGAAAGCGUGGGGAGCAAACAGGAUUAGAUACCCUGGUAGUCCACGCCGUAAACGAUGUCGAUUUGGAGGUUGUGCCCUUGAGGCGUGGCUUCCGGAGCUAACGCGUUAAAUCGACCGCCUGGGGAGUACGGCCGCAAGGUUAAAACUCAAAUGAAUUGACGGGGGCCCGCACAAGCGGUGGAGCAUGUGGUUUAAUUCGAUGCAACGCGAAGAACCUUACCUGGUCUUGACAUCCACAGAACUUUCCAGAGAUGGAUUGGUGCCUUCGGGAACUGUGAGACAGGUGCUGCAUGGCUGUCGUCAGCUCGUGUUGUGAAAUGUUGGGUUAAGUCCCGCAACGAGCGCAACCCUUAUCCUUUGUUGCCAGCGGUUAGGCCGGGAACUCAAAGGAGACUGCCAGUGAUAAACUGGAGGAAGGUGGGGAUGACGUCGAGUCAUCAUGGCCCUUACGACCAGGGCUACACACGUGCUACAAUGGCAUAUACAAAGAGAAGCGACCUCGCGAGAGCAAGCGGACCUCAUAAAGUAUGUCGUAGUCCGGAUUGGAGUCUGCAACUCGACUCCAUGAAGUCGGAAUCGCUAGUAAUCGUAGAUCAGAAUGCUACGGUGAAUACGUUCCCGGGCCU
Molecule: ribosomal RNA, 1360 nt
Filed under: uncultured bacterium
Lineage: Bacteria
Description: bacterial SSU rRNA
Rfam family: Bacterial small subunit ribosomal RNA
Source: RNAcentral